Long non-coding RNA from Solanum stenotomum, 236 nucleotides. RefSeq lists it as uncharacterized. Lineage: Eukaryota; Viridiplantae; Streptophyta; Magnoliopsida; Solanales; Solanaceae. The record is from RefSeq and is a predicted model, not a curated record. The transcript is spliced from 3 exons.
GAGUCACUUGAUGCAACUCCAAAUAUUUGAGUUUCUCAAAGGUGUCUUCCUCCCUCAUGUUCCAUUCUUCCCCAUGGAUGAUUGUAUCAUAAAGGGACAACUCUUCAAGGUUGGGCAGUCUCGCUAUUGUUGAUAGUGAAUCGGAUGUCAGAGGAAAGUCAACAAACCACAAUUUUUUCAAACUCGAAGGGAAGUGAAAAUCCCAUGGCCGAUUUAUGGCUGCAGAGGACCCACUG